UCCAUCCAUAGCCAUCAGAGCUGAAAUGAAUGCAUGCUAUAUUUAUAUUUACUUACGUUUUCAAAUAGACAUGCACUUCAGGUCAGAGAUCGCUGAGAAAGUCUGUCUCGAACCACUAAGGAGGAGAAGAUUUCCUCGGCUGAUUUAGGUAGAUAAAAAUGUGAAGGCUUAGAGGGAUGUUGUGUUCUUUUACACUUGGCAGUAUUUCUCUAUUAAGAAGCUGUGAAAGUCAUAUGGUCAUUCUUGGGUGGAGUGUGAUAGAUGAGCUACACUGCGUGCAAAUGCGUAAGCUGACAUGUCAAGUACUGAAAGGUACAUGAAACAGGCUCAAAUGUUCAUCAGAAUGUCUCACCACUCAGUGAUGUACAUGAUGUAAUGUGAGCGCCAGUGUAAGUACAAUUAAUCCAAUGAAGUACAUUUCAGCUUAACUGUAGCACUACCAAGGAACAGUUAAAGAAUAUGUCAUCAUUCACUCAUUUGCAUUUAUUAAUUUACAUUUACAUUUAUUCAGUUCCUUUGUUCCACAGAAAAAAUGAAUGUCAUAUAUGUUUGGAAUGACGUGAGGAAAAAUGGGCGGCCUGGCUCUGUGCAAGCAACUACCCUUAAAUUCAGGAAGCAAUGAACAAUGCGAAAGAUAACAUUCCUCCAAGUGCUAGUUUCUCCGUCAAAGCACGAACGAUAACAGGUUACUCCAGUCAGCAGGAUAAUCUCAGUUCAGCCUGCAGGCUAACUCUGCUGUGUUCUAGCAAAGAGUUAGCAAUUCACCCCUCUAUCGCAGUCACAUAGAAAAUCUUUGAGAAGCAACCACAGAGGUAAAAAACACUGGAUCUGAAUCAAAUAAGAGGUUUUGUCAAUUCAAAAGAGAAAUAUACAAAGUUCAUUUCAAGUUCUUCUGAGUUUAUUUGUUCUGUUUUGUAUGUUUUUGAUUUCAGUAAAAAAGACACACCCAGAGAAGUUUAUAGCUCAGACGUAGCUCAUUUAUACCUCAAUAUAAUUCCUCAGUUAUGUCUCUUUUCUGUAUAUUAUCAGCUCAGCAUUAAGGUGCAAGGUAUACGUUUAUCGGUUUGUCACUGGAGAUUAAACUUAUGACCUCAGCAUUGC
Carassius gibelio (silver crucian carp) is the source of this 1101-nucleotide long non-coding RNA. RefSeq lists it as uncharacterized. The transcript is spliced from 3 exons. Lineage: Eukaryota; Metazoa; Chordata; Actinopteri; Cypriniformes; Cyprinidae. The record is from RefSeq and is a predicted model, not a curated record.